CCGCGGCCCGCUGUUGCGUCCCGACGUGCCCCUGCGUGCCGCUCUCUGCCGAGGCUGGACGCGGCUGCGGCUCCUGAAGCCAGUGAAGGAGAAACAGCAGCUGAGAUUAAACAACAUUCAGCAAAACCUCAUCAAAUGCUUUCAGAGGUCUCUGAAAAAAAGUAUUGUUGUGCUUAAAAAUUGAAUAUUAUCUGCUACUCAACUUUAUUUUCAUUUGGAACCUGACUGUCCCAUUCUCCCCAUUUUCAUUUAAGAAUGAAAAUGACACGUUGCAUUAAAGAUACUGCUAUCUUUCUAUAAGUGGUUACUCUAAAAAUACAACAGUUCUUAUGUGCACAUUGCUGUGAUUGCGGUAUUUGGCCAGGGAUGAAAACAAUCAUCUGAUUACUUGCAUACUUAUAGUGAUAUGCAGAAGUCUGAUGGAUUAAAGGAUUUUCUGAGGCCAAAACUAAUAUCCGUAUUCUCUCAUUCUUUGUUUUUAAAUUAACUUUUGGGUUUUUGUUUUGUUUUUUAAAGCAUCUGAGGAGAGAAACUGUCAAUGGCUUUAGAAAGAUUUUCCUCAAAAAACAUUUGAAUGCAUACUUUCUAAUUGUCAACCAAUCUCAUCUAGAGAAAAAAUCUGAAAAGAUUUUAUAGGAUUUAAAAGGUCUGCCUGUUUUAGGCAGAUUCUUACUAUGAUGGAAGCAAAUAAGGAAAAGAAUGAUGAUAUUCCCAUUUCUACAACAGUCUUUGCUCUUACUGUGUUUGUUUAUACCAAUUCCAACCUUAGUACAUUGAAUUAAGGUUAGGCAACCUUAAAACAGAGAAUGUAAGGUCUCUGUCAUAGUUUACAGAAAAAUGUAUAUGAAAAUGAGGUAUUUCUCUUUGGUACAGAACAUGGAUGUCAAGCAUUUGAAAAAUAAGAAUUGUAAUUAAAAUUCAUAUACAUCUUCUUUUUUUUAGAGUAUCUUCUCUCAGCAUUGACAUACUGACAGCCUAAGACACUUAUCUGCAAUGUUCCUUUGGACUCUUUCCAGUAAUGCAUAGAGCACUGUCACCAUCUGGGGAAAUACUCACCGGUGUUUCAAUGUGGCAUUGCUGUUGCUUUUCACUUGGGAUUACUAAAAAGCUCCUACAGCUGAUCUAUAAGGGCUAAAAUUGAGACAUUCUGGAUACUGGGGUUAUUUUUUCAAUCCACUUAAGGAGGGUGAUUUGUAGCAACAGUGCAUAUGGCCCUAAUUAAUGAGAUUUGAGUAGACUUUGGCGUAGCAUCCUGUCUAAAGAAGAAGAAAAGAGGUUACAAGAGAUUUGCUAUGUUCCUUAUCGCUGCUUCAUAUGAAACGUUAUACGUACUCCUGAAGUUUUUAUUUUGAAUCAUUUCUACAAUAAUUUUAUCAGGUGCAUAGGAUAUUCAAGCAACUUUUGAAAAUUCCUUAUGUUCUGCAUUAUAAAGUCUGUUAUCCAUACUUGGUGCAGACUACAAAUUUGACCCUAAUUUUCAAGCAUUUAAAGGCCCAAAAUAAAAUUAUCAUUCUGUAACACUUUUUUUUUCUUACAUUUAUUCAAGUUUGCAUUAACACUGUAUAUCCAACGAAACUGCAUUUUACUCCUUCAUUUUAGCCUUAAGUAGCAGCCACAGGAGAUUAAAUGCGGUUAAGGAUAAUGAAGCAUGAAGAUGACAAGAAAAAUUAACCAGAGGUGCCUUAUCUCCCAAUUCAUAGCAGUACAAAUUUUAUAUUCCUGACACAAAUGCCAGCUUGGGAUUGAAAUCGUACUAUGUGAAUCUGUUCUUUAAGCAGAACUGAGUGCAGAAGUGCAAUACAACAGAAGAACAGAUACAUUCUGCAGGUGGAGAGAAAAGCUGUGGGUUCAUGAAGCCCCAUUUGAUAGUAAAGCAGUUCACAGCACAGGCAUUUAUGUGGAGGAGAAGCUCCUGCAGCAAGCAAGCUCUGUACUGAUAGCAAGUAGUUCUCACACUGCAACAUCGUGGUUAGCUGUAUCAAGCAACAUAUAAAUCAUGAAGACAAAGUGCUGCUGAGCAGCAAGGCAGCUUUCCCUAGCCAGGUUGUGAGAAGAAGCCACAAUUACCAAAUCAGUGUCUUGGCACUGAAACUGCACAGCAUCUCAGUGGAGCAGGUUAGUGGGAUUAGGUCCCUUCCUCCAGAGGAAAGUUUGUGCUGCAGUUUGGCCUCACCCACCUUCGAACAGCUGAGUUUCUGUUGACUCGAAAGGAAAGCAAAAAGUUUGAGAAAUGCUGCUAAAAGGCCUCAUAUUGUCUGACAUCCUGUGACAAGAAAAAAUAAACUCCUUUGGCCACAAGCCAUAAUGACUCUGACCUGUGUGUAAGCUUUCAGUACUGCUGCGUCCUGCUUUUGGUUUCGCCCUGCUCAUUUGGGUUAUUCCGUGCAUUGCACAAAGAGUUUCAAAGACAGCUCCUGUAAGCCAGUUACUUGUAACUGCUCCUGGGAGCAGUUACAGCUGCCAGCACAGAAAUAAAAAUACUGGGCCCAAAAGUCAUCCUUGUUUUGUUGUCUGUCACUGCAGUUUCCAUGUGCAGAAACAGCUACAUGGGAGCUGCUGCCACCAACCAGGAGCAGCGCUCAGGAGAAGCACGUAUCCAUGUGGCUCAGUGACAGUGUUGCAAAAUACCGCAUUUGAUCUCUGGGUAAAAUGGAAAAGGCAGAAUAGUAUUUUUUUACACCACAACUAGAGACAAGUGCAGGUGGUGUGAUGUAUGAACACUUACAUUUUAAGCACUAAUACCAGCAUUUCUGGGCACGCUGCUCUGAAAAGUCUGGUGCUUUAGCAGAUAGCAACUCAUAGAUAGAUCCCUGUGCUUUCAGAAGUGCAAAUGCUUUCAAUAAGUGCCUUUCAGCUCAGCCUGCUAGAGCAUAGCACCCUAAGCAACUCUCAGUAGGCUCAUAUCUCUCCCCUCUUUGCUUCAGACAUACCCAAAUCCAUCUUCAUUCCAGGUGUGUGGAAAUGCCUGCACCUCUCCUUAGAGACA
Long non-coding RNA from Meleagris gallopavo (turkey), 2986 nucleotides. RefSeq lists it as uncharacterized. Lineage: Eukaryota; Metazoa; Chordata; Aves; Galliformes; Phasianidae. The record is from RefSeq and is a predicted model, not a curated record.